Helianthus annuus (common sunflower) is the source of this 3343-nucleotide RNA transcript. It is a transcript of the gene named transcriptional corepressor LEUNIG, with no coding region annotated. The record is from RefSeq and is a predicted model, not a curated record. Lineage: Eukaryota; Viridiplantae; Streptophyta; Magnoliopsida; Asterales; Asteraceae. The transcript is spliced from 20 exons.
AUACACAACAGUCCUUGAUAUUCUCUCUUCAGUCAGUAACCCUUUUCUCUCUCUUGCUUGCUUGGGGGAUCUUGUCUUUACCUAAAAAUAUUCUGGAAUUUGUUAAAAAGCCCAUAUUUUUAUUGUAUGAAGAUCUAACACUUGUUUUUUCUUGAGGAAUACCUGAUCCAGGGAAAAUGUCUCAGGCUAACUGGGAAGCUGAUAAAAUGUUAGAUGUUUAUAUACAUGAUUAUUUGGUAAAGAGAGAUUUGAAAGCUUCUGCUCAGGCAUUUCAAGCUGAAGGAAAAGUCUCAUCUGACCCUGUUGCUAUCGACGCCCCGGGUGGCUUUCUUUUUGAAUGGUGGUCUGUGUUUUGGGACAUUUUUAUUGCAAGGACUAAUGAGAAGCACUCAGAAGUUGCAGCUUCCUAUAUUGAAACACAGUUAAUCAAAGCAAGGGAACAGCAGCAGCAACAACAACCGCAACAAUCACCUCAUCCACAACAACAGCAGCAGCAGCAGCAGCAACAGCAGAUGCAAAUGCAGCAACUGAUGUUGCAACGUCAGGCUCAACAAGCACAGCAGCAGCAACAGCAACAGCAGCAGCAACAGCAACAACACCAGCAACAACAACAAGCACAACAUCAACAGCAGCAGCAGCAGCAGCAGCAGCAGAGGAGAGAUGGGGCCCACCUACUCAAUGGAACUUCAAAUGGGCUUGUUGGAAAUGAGCCGCUUAUGAGGCAAAAUCCUGGAACUGCUAAUGCCAUGGCUACAAAGAUGUACGAGGAGAAUUUAAAAGUGCCACUUUCAAGGGACUCUUUAGAUGAUGCAGCAGCUAUCAAGCAAAGAUAUGGGGAGAAUGUAGGGCAGCUUUUGGACUCAAAACACGCAUCAAUAUUGAAAUCUGCUGCAGCUGGGCAACCUUCAGGGCAAUUGUUGCAUGGUACAUCUGGCAGUAUGUCUCCUCAAGUUCAAGGUCGGCACCCGCAACUUCCAGGAUCUGCCUCGGAGAUAAAGACAGAGAUGAAUCCAAUAUUGAAUCCCCGAGCUGCAGGACCUGAGGGGUCAUUGAUUGGAGUUCCUGGAUCAAAUCAAGGGGGUAACAACUUGACAUUGAAAGGAUGGCCUCUCACAGGUUUGGAUCAACUACGGUCUGGUCUGCUACAGCAGCAGAAGUCAUACAUGCAGGGGGGUUCCCAUCAGCUACAAAUGCUGACACCACAGCAUCAGCACCAACUUUUGUUAGCUCAGCAAAACAUGACAUCACAGUCUGCUAAUGAUGAAAGCAGACGGCUCAGAAUGCUUCUUAAUAAUCGGAGCAUGAGCAUGGGCAAAGAUUCAGUGGGUGAUGUUCCAAAUCUCGGAUCAUCUAUGCCUGUUCUACCUCGCGGUGAUCCAGAUAUGUUACUCAAGUUAAAAAUGGCUCAGCUGCAGCAGCAGCAGCAGCAGCAAAAUAGUAACCCACAACAGCAGCAGCAGCAGCCACAUCUCCAGCACUCUCUUUCUGCCCCCCUAAUUCAAAAUUCAAAUCUCAAUCUCCAGCAAGACAAAAUCUUGGGGACAAGCAGCGUAACUGCAGACGGGAGCAUGUCAAACUCCUUUAGAGGAAACGAUCAGAAUGGAAGAAAGAGAAAGCAGCCAGUGUCAUCUUCGGGACCUGCAAACAGUUCAGGAACGGGGAACACUGCAGGACCGUCACCAAGUUCAGCACCUUCAACACCAUCAACUCAUACACCGGGAGAUGUUAUCUCAAUGCCUGCACUUCCACAUAACAACAACACCACUUCUUCCAAGCCUUUAAUGAUGUUUGGGACAGAUGGUCCUGCAACUCUUACCUCCCCAUCAAAUCACUUGUGGGAUGAUAAAGACAUUGUGCAGGCUGAUAUGGAUCAUUUUGUAGAGGAUGAUGAUAAUGUCGAGUCUUUUUUAUCCCAUGAUGAUAAUGAUCCCAGAGAUGCAGUUGGUCGGUGUAUGGAUGUAAGCAAAGAGUUCACAUUUACGGAGGUGAGAUCGGUUCGGGCUAGUGCAAGCAAGGUAGUCUGCUGCCACUUCUCAUCGGAUGGUAAACUUGUAGCCAGUGGUGGUCAUGAUAAGAAGGCUGUACUGUGGUACACUGAUUCUCUAAAGCCAAAGACCACCCUUGAAGAACAUUCAUCGUUGAUCACGGAUGUGCGUUUCAGCCCGAGCAUGCCACGCCUUGCAACCUCUUCUUUUGAUAAAACAGUCCGUGUUUGGGAUGCUGAUAAUCCUGGGUUUUCCUUGCGAACAUUCAUUGGGCAUUCUGCGUCUGUGAUGUCAUUAGAUUUCCACCCGAAUAAAGAUGACCUCAUCUGCUCGUGUGAUGGGGAUGGGGAAAUAAGGUACUGGAGCAUAACUAACGGUAGCUGUGCACGUGUAUUCAAGGGUGGGACGGCGCAAGUGAGAUUCCAGCCUCGCCAUGGAAGAUAUCUUGCAGCAGCUGCAGAAAACAUCGUGUCAAUACUGGACGUGGAGACGCAAGCUUGCAGGCAUUCACUGCAGGGGCAUACAAAACCAAUUCAUUCCAUUUGCUGGGACCCAAAAGGGGAGUAUUUGGCAUCUGUUAGUGAGGACUCGGUCAGAGUUUGGUCUCUUAUGUCUGGAAAUGAAGGGGAGUGUAUACAUGACCUUAGCUGUAACGGAAAUAAGUUCCAUUCUUGUGUUUUUCAUCCUAGUUAUGCUUCCUUAUUGGUCAUCGGCUGUUACCAGUCUCUUGAGCUAUGGAACAUGUCUGAGAACAAGACGAUGACACUGUCAGCACAUGAAGGGCUAAUCGCUGGUUUGGCCUUGUCGACGGUUACAGGUUUGGUAGCCUCGGCUAGCCAUGAUAAGAUCAUAAAACUUUGGAAGUGAAUGAUCAAUGGAGUUUUUGUUCCUCAGUAAUCUCAUUCGGUGUUUUGACGACUCUAAUCCCUCAAUUAAAUUUAGGAAGGAUUUCAAGGUUAUGACGUUUAGAGGGUCCAAUAGAUUUGAACGGGAAAAGGUUGCUUCGAGAGAUUUUCUAGAUAGCUGAUGAGGACCACUUGUAUAAGGAAUUAAUGUGUGUGUCCAAGUUGAAGAUGAUGAUGAGGACCACUUGUAUAAGGAAUUACUGUGUGUCCAAAGUUGAAGAUGAAGGAUAGAGGAUUUAAUUGUUGGAAAAAUUUAUUAACGUGUGUGUCCAAAGUUGAAGAUGAUGAUGAGGACCACUUGUAUAAGGAAUUAAUGUGUGUGUCCAAAGUUGAAGAUGAAGGAUAGAGGAUUUAACUGUUGGAAAAAUUUUGUAAAGUUAACGAUGUAUGUUUUGGAUUCCAAAGAUGAGAUGCAUCUUGUGGAGUUGGAAUGAGGAUAAGUUGUUUAUGAUU